Molecule: transfer RNA, 79 nt
Filed under: Pleurotus eryngii
Lineage: Eukaryota; Fungi; Basidiomycota; Agaricomycetes; Agaricales; Pleurotaceae
Description: tRNA-Glu
Rfam family: tRNA
About the family: Transfer RNA (tRNA) molecules are approximately 80 nucleotides in length. Their secondary structure includes four short double-helical elements and three loops (D, anti-codon, and T loops).
Source: RNAcentral
UCCGAUAUGGUGUAACGGCUAACAUUGCCGCCUUUCAGAGUGAACGCGGCAGCUCGGGGUUCGAUUCCCCGUGUCGGAA